RNAcentral lists this ribosomal RNA (406 nucleotides) under Polypedates bengalensis. RNAcentral's name for it is "partial 16S ribosomal RNA". It matches the Rfam family "Bacterial large subunit ribosomal RNA", at positions 1849 to 2468 of the family's 2925-position model. Lineage: Eukaryota; Metazoa; Chordata; Amphibia; Anura; Rhacophoridae. The record is from RNAcentral.
AGAGGUCAGCCUGCCCAGUGAAUUUUUAACGGCCACGGUAUCCUAACCGUGCGAAGGUAGCAUAAUCACUUGUUCUUUAAAUGGGGACCUGUAUCAACGGCAUCACGAGGGUUUUACUGUCUCCUCCUUUUAAUCAGUGAAAUUGAUCUUCCCGUGAAGAAGCGGGAAUACACAUAUAAGACGAGAAGACCCCAUGGAGCUUCAAACCAAAUAGCAACUUAACCACACAUCUCCCGAUAGUUACACCACUCUGCUAUGAGGUUUUUGGUUGGGGUGACUGCGGAGUAAAACAUAACCUCCACGACGAAAAGGCUUCAAUCUUUAUUUAAGAGCUACAGCUCUAGAAAUUAGCAUACUAAUGUACACUGAUCCGAUAUUCAUAAUCGAUCAACGGACCAAGUUACCC